Molecule: regulatory RNA element, 71 nt
Organism: Erysipelotrichaceae bacterium
Lineage: Bacteria; Bacillati; Bacillota; Erysipelotrichia; Erysipelotrichales; Erysipelotrichaceae
Source: Rfam
UAAGUAUUGCAACCGCGCAGGAAAGGUAUAAGUCGAGAGAUCGCACCUUGAUGGCGAGUCUCAGAUUGACA